AAGGAUGUGUUUGCUUCACCUUCCACCACAAUUUUCUCAUCGCUAUGAGCUUGGAAUAAAAUAAAAAGAAGAGAUGGUUGAAAUAUGAGUCUAUGGAUUGAUUUCUGUGUCCCCUUUCUAAAGCAAGCCAGAAAGUGUUCAUAUUAAGACCAUCGGCUAUGGAUGUUACUAUUCAGUGACUGAAGCCCCAAACUAUCACCCUGACCCUGCUCAGUGGGCUUGACAAUGGGACACAGAGUACACACCAAAGGCAGGGAAGCCAAGACACGUGGCCGGCUCAUGUGGUGAGUGGGCUCCCUGCACUGGCUUCUCCAACUUGGAGUCAUGCUCAGGACAUCAUAAGGGAAACCAGUAGUCCCUUGCACCUGCUGUGAAGGUUUUGUUGACUUCUUUCUCCAGCCUGUCAGUUUGGCUCUGAGCUUGGUGAAUUAUGACUCAGCGAUGGUUGGUUCCCUGUGUGGGAAGCAGGCGAUGCUUUGGUUUGCUAACAGGUGCUUCUUCCUGAAGCAGUUGCCUCCUGCAGCUUCUGAGCCUCUUCUGCCAUGUCAUUCAGUGCAGUGGGAGUGAGGAGGCAGUAAACACGUCUAUACACUACCAGAGAAAACCAGUACCUAGAGACUCUGCCACUCAUGUCUACUAAGUUCUCUACUGCAGCUUGUUGGUCAAUCUUCAUGAACAUUUUCAGUAAAGCACUCUGGAUGCUUUUAUAGGAAAGAGCCCUGCAGGCCAUUAUCCAACCAUUAUUAUCGCCAUUACCGUCACCAUCAUCAACAUUGUCAUCAGCAUCAUCUUCACUGUAGAAAUCAAACAUUCAUUAAGUAGUUAAUUCUGGAUGAUUUUCUGUUUGAUGCUGAAUCAAAAAUUAAACAGUCUAGGUUCUUUCUGUCAAGGAUUAUGACUGAAGACAGACACACUUAUAUGGACAUACAUUUAUAGGUAUUACAGAAACAGAAAACCAACCUGAUAUCAGCUAGUGUGAGUAGCUGAUUUAAAAGUGGAUUCAUGAUUGGAGUAUCAGGAAGAAAACCUUUAGAAAUCCCAAGGAAAAGCAUAUAACUUGCCUCUCUCUAGUUAGUAUUUCAGGGAUACAGGACAGUAGUAGGAUCUAUCUUUGCUGAGUCUUGAUGAUUAAGAAGAGUAUUGCGGGGUGUAGAACUGGAGUUUCUAUGUGUCCAGCUUUAGAGGGAGGAUGAAUGAGCUGAUGAUUGAGUUUUGGUCAGCUAUACUUGAGAUGGGUAGAAGGAGUACUACCAUGGAAAGAAUCCAGGUUAAAGAGUCAGGCCAGGGUCUGAAUAACAGCCCCAUUACCAGCUGUGAGAUCUGAGGCAAAUCAUGCAAUCAGAAUUUUUUUCACUUCUUUUUAUUCAUCUGUAAAAUAGGAAUAGUAACAUCUUGCCUGAUGUGUUGAAGUUCCCUAGCAUGUACCACAAGGAGUAAUUAUUAUCUUGGUACAUAAGAAGGGAGAAGACAAAUAACAACAUCUGAAGGAACCACAUCAAAAACUUCGGUGGCUUGGCAAUGAGAUAUUAUCUCACACUACUCAGAGUGCCUAUUAAUCAGAAGUCAAAAAAUAACAGAUGUAAUUCAGGCUUCGAAG
RNAcentral lists this long non-coding RNA (1597 nucleotides) under Homo sapiens (human). RNAcentral's name for it is "HSALNT0374144". The record is from RNAcentral. Lineage: Eukaryota; Metazoa; Chordata; Mammalia; Primates; Hominidae.